GGAAAACAGAGAAGAGAUGUGGCAGAAACACAGGAAGGAGUUGCAAAAAGCUGACAUGUACCCAACGUCUAUCUACUUGAUGUCAAGUACAGUGAGACACUGAACAUACAGAGAUGAAGAAGACCUACAUUUGCAUCCCCAAUAUUCAGCAUAUUAUAAUGUCUGCACACAGUAAGUGCUUUAAAAACAUAGCAUUGCACUGUUCUGUAAAGAAAUAUUACAUGUCAACUAAAAUACACAUUAGCAAAGACUUUCA
Long non-coding RNA from Suricata suricatta (meerkat), 256 nucleotides. RefSeq lists it as uncharacterized. The record is from RefSeq and is a predicted model, not a curated record. NCBI's taxonomy places the organism in Eukaryota, Metazoa, Chordata, Mammalia, Carnivora, Herpestidae. The transcript is spliced from 2 exons.